AGACUGGUAGCUCAGUGGUAGAGCAAUGGACUACACUUCCAUAUGUCGUAGGUUCAAUUCCUAUCAGGUCUU
This is a non-coding RNA of Nemania sp. FL0916, 72 nucleotides long. NCBI's taxonomy places the organism in Eukaryota, Fungi, Ascomycota, Sordariomycetes, Xylariales, Xylariaceae. The record is from the annotation of a GenBank genome assembly.